Molecule: long non-coding RNA, 410 nt
Filed under: Ananas comosus (pineapple)
Lineage: Eukaryota; Viridiplantae; Streptophyta; Magnoliopsida; Poales; Bromeliaceae
Description: long non-coding RNA (ACOM_LNC013185)
Source: RNAcentral
UUAUAAUUUAUACCGAAAUAUCAUUAAAAAUAACAGAAUUAUAAUAAAAAGUUAUAAUUUUAGGGUUUAGGGUUUAGGGUUUAGGGUUUAGGGUUUAGGUGGGUACUUCGAUCCGACGUCGGUACAGUGGUGCACGUUCGGUGAUGGUUUCUUACCCUUGCCCUCUUACUAUUAUCUGUGUGCAUAUACAUAUUGAGCCUUGCACCCAUAUUAUUUCCGUAUUUACUCUACUCAGUUGUUUUCAUAUUUAGUAUCUUGUGUAGGAGUAGAGUAGAUUUCAUCAGCGUAUGAUAUAUCUGUGACAUGAUUGGUCGAGUUCCUAUCCUAUAUCUGUGACAUGAUUGGUCGAGUUCAUAUCCUAUAUCUGUGACAUGAUUGGUCGAGUUCAUACCCUAUACUUGUGACAUGAU